This 467-nucleotide ribosomal RNA is filed under the name uncultured bacterium. Its description in RNAcentral is "partial 16S ribosomal RNA". It matches the Rfam family "Bacterial small subunit ribosomal RNA", at positions 28 to 506 of the family's 1533-position model. The record is from RNAcentral.
GACGAACGCUGGCGGCGUGCUUAACACAUGCAAGUCGAACGGAAAGGCCCUGCUUUUGUGGGGUGCUCGAGUGGCGAACGGGUGAGUAACACGUGAGUAACCUGCCCUUGACUUUGGGAUAACUUCAGGAAACUGGGGCUAAUACCGGAUAGGAGCUCCUGCUGCAUGGUGGGGGUUGGAAAGUUUCGGCGGUUGGGGAUGGACUCGCGGCUUAUCAGCUUGUUGGUGGGGUAGUGGCUUACCAAGGCUUUGACGGGUGGCCGGCCUGAGAGGGUGACCGGCCACAUUGGGAGUGAGAUACGGCCAAGACUCCUACGGGAGGCAGCAGUGGGGAAUAUUGCACAAUGGGCGGAAGCCUGAUGCAGCAACGCCGCGUGCGGGAUGACGGCCUUCGGGUUGUAAACCGCUUUCGCCUGUGACGAAGCGUGAGGGACGGUAAUGGGUAAAGAAGCACCGGCGAACUACGU